UACGUAGGGACCAAGCGUUGUUCGGAUUUACUGGGCGUAAAGGGCGCGUAGGCGGCAAUUCAAGUCAGUUGUGAAAUCUCCGAGCUUAACUCGGAACGGUCAACUGAUACUGCUUUGCUAGAGUACAGAAGGGGCAAUCGGAAUUCUUGGUGUAGCGGUGAAAUGCGUAGAUAUCAAGAGGAACACCUGAGGUGAAGACGGGUUGCUGGGCUGACACUGACGCUGAGGCGCGAAAGCUAGGGUAGCAAACGGGAUUAGAUACCCCCGUAGUCC
RNAcentral lists this ribosomal RNA (273 nucleotides) under uncultured bacterium. Its description in RNAcentral is "partial 16S ribosomal RNA". It matches the Rfam family "Bacterial small subunit ribosomal RNA", at positions 524 to 796 of the family's 1533-position model. The record is from RNAcentral.